GGGAACGUUGACGGUAAAGCCUGACCGACGCUGCCUGUAAAGCAGUGGCCCUCGCGGACAACUGGGUGCAAGUCCCAGCGUUCCCACCA
RNAcentral lists this transfer RNA (89 nucleotides) under Deltaproteobacteria bacterium. RNAcentral's name for it is "tRNA-OTHER". The record is from RNAcentral. RNAcentral also lists the same sequence under 1 other name. Lineage: Bacteria; Pseudomonadati; Myxococcota; Myxococcia.